RNAcentral lists this unclassified non-coding RNA (378 nucleotides) under uncultured Gaiellales bacterium. Its description in RNAcentral is "contains 16S-23S intergenic spacer region". The record is from RNAcentral. Lineage: Bacteria; Bacillati; Actinomycetota; Thermoleophilia; Gaiellales.
UCACUACUUGCGUAGGCAGUCGAUCUAGAGUUCCCGACAUGACUCGCUGGCAACAUCGGACAGGGGUUGCGCUCGUUGCGCCACUUAAGGCAACAUCUCACGACACGAGCUGACGACAGCCAUGCGCCACCUGUGCACAGGCCCCGAAGGGCUGCCGUGUUUCCACGACAUUCCUGUGCAUGUCAAGCCCUGGUAAGGUUCUUCGCGUCGCAUCGAAUUAAACAACAUGCUCCGCUGCUUGUGCGGGUCCCCGUCAAUUCCUUUGAGUUUUAGCCUUGCGGCCGUACUCCCCAGGCGGGGUGCUUAAUGCGUUAGCUUCGGCACGGACGGAGUCGACACCGCCCACACCUAGCACCCAUCGUUUACGGCGUGGACUAC